This is a long non-coding RNA of Hibiscus syriacus, 200 nucleotides long. RefSeq lists it as uncharacterized. The transcript is spliced from 3 exons. The record is from RefSeq and is a predicted model, not a curated record. NCBI's taxonomy places the organism in Eukaryota, Viridiplantae, Streptophyta, Magnoliopsida, Malvales, Malvaceae.
ACUCGUUCUAAAUUUGUAAUUUACAGGCCGAUUAAAUAGGAUAAACUUAUUAGAACCGUAAUAGAAAGGAUCAAUAAAGAUCAUUAGUGGGAAUGGCUUGUUGAGGAUGCUUAGAGUGCUUAUUGAAGCUCUUGAACUUUUUGAUGAGUUUUGUUGGUUUGGCAAUGGUUGGAUACGGGAUAUAUUUGUUUGUUGAGUAU